UACGUAGGUGGCAAGCGUUGUCCGGAUUUACUGGGCGUAAAGAGCGCGCAGGCGGUCGUUCAAGUCGCGUGUGAAAGCCCCCGGCUCAACUGGGGAGGGUCACGCGAUACUGAUCGACUCGAAGGCAGGAGAGGGUAGUGGAAUUCCCAGUGUAGUGGUGAAAUGGGUAGAUAUCGGGAGGAACACCAGUGGCGAAGGCGACUACCUGGCCUGUUCUUGACGCUGAGGCGCGAAAGCUAGGGGAGCAAACGGG
This 253-nucleotide ribosomal RNA is filed under the name uncultured bacterium. RNAcentral describes it as "partial 16S ribosomal RNA". It matches the Rfam family "Bacterial small subunit ribosomal RNA", at positions 524 to 776 of the family's 1533-position model. The record is from RNAcentral.